UACGAAGGGGGCUAGCGUUGCUCGGAAUCACUGGGCGUAAAGCGCACGUAGGCGGAUUGCUAAGUCAGGGGUGAAAUCCCGGGGCUCAACCUCGGAACUGCCUUUGAUACAGCAAGUCUUGAGUUCGAGAGAGGUGGGUGGAAUUCCUAGUGUAGAGGUGAAAUUCGUAGAUAUUCGGAAGAACACCAGUGGCGAAGGCGGCUCACUGGCCCGGUACUGACGCUGAGAUACGAAAGCGUGGGGAGCAAACAGG
Molecule: ribosomal RNA, 253 nt
Filed under: uncultured bacterium
Lineage: Bacteria
Description: partial 16S ribosomal RNA
Rfam family: Bacterial small subunit ribosomal RNA
Source: RNAcentral